GAGAAAUGAUGCUGCGAAAGAGCCU
RNAcentral lists this non-coding RNA (25 nucleotides) under Rattus norvegicus (Norway rat). Lineage: Eukaryota; Metazoa; Chordata; Mammalia; Rodentia; Muridae. The record is from RNAcentral.